AGACAGAGGUGGCAAGCGUUAUCCGGAUUUAUUGGGUUUAAAGGGUUCGUAGGCGGAUCAAUAAGUCAGUGGUGAAAGCCUGUGGCUCAACCAUAGAACUGCCAUUGAUACUGUUGAUCUUGAGUACACUUGAAGUGGGCGGAAUGCGUCAUGUAGCGGUGAAAUGCAUAGAUAUGACGCAGAACACCGAUUGCGAAGGCAGCUCACUAAAUUGUAACUGACGCUGAGGAACGAAAGCGUGGGGAGCGAACAGGAUUAGAAACCCUAGUAGUCC
This 274-nucleotide ribosomal RNA is filed under the name uncultured bacterium. RNAcentral describes it as "partial 16S ribosomal RNA". It matches the Rfam family "Bacterial small subunit ribosomal RNA", at positions 523 to 796 of the family's 1533-position model. The record is from RNAcentral.